RNAcentral lists this long non-coding RNA (2008 nucleotides) under Citrus maxima (pomelo). RNAcentral describes it as "long non-coding RNA (CMAX_LNC002419)". Lineage: Eukaryota; Viridiplantae; Streptophyta; Magnoliopsida; Sapindales; Rutaceae. The record is from RNAcentral.
AAAAUAAAAGCAUUGUCGAAUUGAGUUACAAACUAAUAAUAAUUUCAUCAAAGUUUGUAAACCAAAGAUUGUCCUAAUAUCAAAAAGUUUCCAAUAAAACACUUAUGCCAGAUAAUUUAUAGAACCUAGUAAUAUCCAACUGAAUUCUCCCCUGCAAAUAAUUAAAAUUUUCAAGUUAGUCAAUAAGAAAAAACAGCCAUCAAUCAUAAUAAGAAGCAACAGCAAAUUACACUAAAAAAAGGCAGAAAAAAGCACCAAAAUAACAAAUAUAAACAAGAAACAACAAUAAAAAAAAACCCAAAAAUGGCAUAAAAAGAUGCUUAAAGCAGCAAUAAAUUUAUAAAAAAUACCCUAAAAUAGCAAUGAAAAUUGCUUUAAAAAGCAUUAAAAAAUCCAAAAACAAUAGUAAACAUGCCUAGAAAUAGUAGAAAAAAACCCCCUAAAAUAGCAAGAAAACUGCCUAAAACAAGAAAAAAAAUCUAGCAGCAAAAUCUUCCAUUGCCAGAUAAAGCUAUGAAAGAAAAGAAAUAAAAUUCAUAAAGAGUCAAAGCUCACAUACUAACCACUUGCUAGAAAUUAAGCUAUAAAUCCCAAAUUUUUACACAAAUUAGUAUCUGAAACAAGAUUGGUUUGAUAUAUGAUAGUCAAGUAAAAUACCUAUAAAGUAGUACAAAUUCAGCAAACCUAAUGGCUUCACUCCACUCAUUUUCUUAAGACUUCAGUGAUGAGAAGCUGCCAACAGAAUGAUAAAUUGAGGUUUGAUAGGAAGCACACAAACUAAACAAGAUACAUAACAAAUUUGUUAUCCAUGUUACACCCUAGAACCAUUUCUAGGAAUAUUUGUUAGAAUAGCCACCAUAACAGUUGAUGAGCAACAUAAAACAGAGACAACAACAAAACCAGCAACCUGCAAAGUGCCAAUUCUUCCAUAAUUAAAUCAGAUACACAAUAGAAAUAAUUUACUAUUAAAAUCCCAAAUUCAUUUUAUCUUCUUCCUGCAUUUUCUCAUCAAUCAAACAUAAAAGAGAGCUCCUAUCGACACAUGCAAACAGCACCCACCAUCUUGUCACAUGCAAACACAACCCAAUAUCACAAAAGUUAAUUUUCCAGAUUUAGUUAACCAAAGAAAAUAUACCAUCAACUGGAUCACCUUAUAAAUCAAAUACAAUUCCACGAUAUUACCAACCUCCCAAAAAAAAAAAAAGGCACAAACUUUAAAAUGAAAACAACAAGACCAUGAAAAAUAAGCAAAAGUGGGUAUUUAAAUCAAACAUGAUAGAAUGCAACAAAAGCAAAAAAGCUUUCGAUAGAAGCCAGAGCCAGAUGGGGUACAAGCAAGCUAGGAGGUACCAAUUAAAGAUGCUUCAUUCAAGAACAGAAAAGCUACAAGAAUGAUAAAAGUAGAAAAAAUGAAACAAUAAACAGAAAAUUGGGUGAAAGCUGCAACAAUAGUUUCAAUCACUUAACAGUAUCAACAAACUUAUAGUAAACUUUAAGAACUAGAUGUUUAAGCCACAGAUAACGGGGACGUACCCAUGAGGAUAAAGACACAAGCGUGAGACCAGCAAAGCCGCCCAUCCUUAACUUGUGCAGCAGACAAAGUCGAAUGAAAAAGGAGGCAACGACGGUAGCGAUGGAAACAGCUGGAUCGGAAGCGAACAGCUCAAGAUGAAAGCAACAAGUUAAUGGAUUGGAUUGUGUGCGCGAGAUGUGGCUUCGAUUUUAUUUGAUUAGUCAAGAAAUCGAAGAGAGAAAUUAGAGAGAAAUUUGUGAUUUCUAAGAGAGAGGCAAGAAAUUGAGAGAUAUUGGGCACGAUUGAAACACCUAAAUUAUAAAAAUAUAAAUUUUGCAGCCUUUGGGAACUGGUUGCUUCGGUUGCCCUUUUUUUGUUUUUUUUUUUAAUUUCUUUUCAAUGUCAGCCGUUGGAUUCAUUUUACUUGAAUCCAACGGCUGCGUUUACAAGCCGGCACGAUGCCGGGCCUCAAUGCCCGACAUUGUAGCUUUAGCC